RNAcentral lists this ribosomal RNA (336 nucleotides) under Dromidia aegibotus. RNAcentral describes it as "partial 12S ribosomal RNA". Lineage: Eukaryota; Metazoa; Arthropoda; Malacostraca; Decapoda; Dromiidae. The record is from RNAcentral.
AAAUAUUAAUAGUUAUAUUCUUAAAAUUUAGAGAAUUUGGCGGUGUUUUAGUCUGUUUAGAGGAACCUGUUUCGUAAAUGAUAAACCUCAAAAUAUCUUACUUGUUAUAGUAGUUUGUAUACCGUCAUUAUUAGAUAAUUUUUAUAGAAAAAAUUAUUAUAAUAGGAGUUGUCUUAGAAUAUUAGAUCAAGGUGCAGCUUAUGAACAAGAGAGAAUGGGCUACAGUAAGAAUUUAGUUAUAACGGAGUAGUUUCUGUAAAAGAAUUAUGAAGGUGGAUUUAAUUGUAAUGUGAGUUUAAUAAGCUUACAUGAUAUUAGCUCUAAAUUAUGUACACA